Molecule: long non-coding RNA, 1002 nt
Filed under: Ananas comosus (pineapple)
Lineage: Eukaryota; Viridiplantae; Streptophyta; Magnoliopsida; Poales; Bromeliaceae
Description: long non-coding RNA (ACOM_LNC001484)
Source: RNAcentral
CUUAUAAACCGAGAAAAUGUAAUUUCAAAAUGGAUUAGCCUCCGUUUGGUUCGGGGUUAAGAAAAAAUAGCUAUUUCAGGAAUAGAGUUAAGUUCAGGGUUAAAGUGGAGUUAAAGUUUUUUUGUGUUUGGUUGGAGGUUGGAGUUAGUCUAGAAUAAUGAAAAAUAGUGUUUGGUUGGAGUAGAUGGAAUAAGAAGAUAAUGAUUGAUAAAGAAGGAUAAACUAUACAUUUUAACUAGAGAAAAAUGUUAGUUAUACAACUAAAAAACAGAGUGCACAUCUUACACUCCAAAAUUUUUAAAUUUAAUUUUUUACAAAACUUUUUUAAUAUAAAAAAGGAUAAACUUCAAAUAUCCCUCUCGUGGUUUCACACUUUCUACUUUACUACCCUAUGGUUUAAAGUGUAUCAAGUUAGUCCAUGUGGUUUCGUACUUUUUUUACUUUAGUAUUAUGUGAUUUAAAUUAUAUUAAGUUAGUACCCUGUGGUUUCAUUUUUCUCUUUCUAUAAUUCAUUUCACUAAUUUUUUUUGUUAAAUCAGUGACAAAGUUAAAAUUAAAGGAUACUAAAAUAAAUAUUCGAUAAACCUAGAUAGAGUAUGAAGUUUUUUGUAUAUAAUUUAAUGAAAUAUUAACGGAGGAAAAAAAAAUCAAUGACAAAGUUAAAGUAAAGGAUACUAAAGUAAAUAUUCGAUAAACCUAGAUAGGAUAUCUGAAGUUUUUUGUAUAUAAUUUAACGAGAUAUUAACAGAUGAGCCGACAAAAAGAUAAAAAUAAAACCACAGGGUACUAAAUUGAUACACUUUAAACCACAAGAUACUAAAGUGAGAAAGUGCGAACCACAGGGUACUAAAUUGAUACACUUUAACCCAGAGUGUACUAAAGUAAAAAACUGCGAAACUAGAGGGGUGGUAUUUGAAAAUUUUCCUAUAAAAAAAUGAUCAAAUUGGUAUGAAAUAUUAUCCUUUGGAUAAAAAGAUAUAAAAUUUACACUCUAUUAACAUC